GCGGCGUGCUUACACAUGCAAGUCGGACGGAUCGGGAGAGCUUGCUUUUCUGGUUAGUGGCGAACGGGUGAGUAACACGUGAGUACCUGCCCUUCACUCUGGGAUAACUCCGGGAAACCGGGGCUAAUACUGGAUAUGACCUGCUCGCGCAUGCGAAGUGGGUGGAAAGAUUAUUGGUGGGGGAUGGACUCGCGGCCUAUCAGCUUGUUGGUGAGGUAAUUGGCUCACCAAGGCGACGAUGGGUAGCCGGCCUGAGAGGGCGAUCGGCCACACUGGGACUGAGACACGGCCCAGACUCCUACGGGAGGCAGCAGUGGGGAAUAUUGCACGAUGGGCGCAAGCCUGAUGCAGCGACGCCGCGUGAGGGAUUAAGGCCUUCGGGUUGUAAACCUCUUUCAGCAGGGAAGAAGCGAGAGUGACGGUACCUGCAGAAGAAGCACCGGCUAACUACGUGCCAGCAGCCGCGGUAAUACGUAGGGUGCAAGCGUUGUCCGGAAUUAUUGGGCGUAAAGAGCUUGUAGGCGGUUUGUCGCGUCUGCUGUGAAAUUUCGGGGCUCAACCCCGAACUUGCAGUGGGUACGGGCAGACUAGAGUGUGGUAGGGGAGACUGGAAUUCCUGGUGUAGCGGUGAAAUGCGCAGA
Molecule: ribosomal RNA, 641 nt
Filed under: uncultured bacterium
Lineage: Bacteria
Description: bacterial SSU rRNA
Rfam family: Bacterial small subunit ribosomal RNA
Source: RNAcentral